Molecule: non-coding RNA, 213 nt
Organism: Pelobates cultripes (western spadefoot toad)
Lineage: Eukaryota; Metazoa; Chordata; Amphibia; Anura; Pelobatidae
Source: the annotation of a GenBank genome assembly
CUGUAGGCAGCGACAAAAUGGAACUGAAGUUUGGGAAUAAACAAGCUAUCCAUAAACCCCUGCUGGACUUGAGAUUUUGGGAUAAGAUCAUAGCAUAGAAUGACACACUCCUGACUAGAGCUUCUUAUCCUGGUAUGGAAGAUGUCUGCUUGCAACAGAACCAUUAAGUAUUUCCAAUGGCACACCUCAGGCUUUUUUGUUUUUAUUUUCUUU